CCAAGGAGUCUAACAUGUGCGCGAGUCACUCGGUCUUGUUUAGGCCAGAGAGGCGCAAUGAAAGUAAAGUUGAUCGAGUUACGAUCCUCAUUUAGUUACCAAAAGUAACGGUGAGGCGCAGUAACAGCCCGCCAAUUUCGCUUUUUGUCGAUAUGGCGGAGUUGUAGCGUACACGUUGGUACCCGAAAGAUGGUGAACUAUGCCUGGGCAAGACGAAGCCAGAGGAAACUCUGGUGGAGGUCUGUAGCGAUUCUGACGUGCAAAUCGAUCGUCAGACCUGGGUAUAGGGGCGAAAGACUAAUCGAACCAUC
RNAcentral lists this ribosomal RNA (311 nucleotides) under Mainothrus badius. RNAcentral's name for it is "eukaryotic LSU rRNA". It matches the Rfam family "Eukaryotic large subunit ribosomal RNA", at positions 666 to 944 of the family's 3401-position model. The record is from RNAcentral. Lineage: Eukaryota; Metazoa; Arthropoda; Arachnida; Sarcoptiformes; Trhypochthoniidae.